Molecule: ribosomal RNA, 247 nt
Filed under: uncultured bacterium
Lineage: Bacteria
Description: partial 16S ribosomal RNA
Rfam family: Bacterial small subunit ribosomal RNA
Source: RNAcentral
GCCUACGGGACGCAGCAGUAGGGAAUCUUCCACAAUGGGCGAAAGCCUGAUGCAGCGACGCCGCGUGAGUGAAGAAGUAUCUCGGUAUGUAAAGCUCUAUCAGCAGGAAAGAUAAUGACGGUACCUGACUAAGAAGCCCCGGCUAACUACGUGCCAGCAGCCGCGGUAAUACGUAGGGGGCAAGCGUUAUCCGGAUUUACUGGGUGUAUAGGGAGCGUAGACGGCAGCGCAAGUCUGGAGUGAAAUG